GGACCUAUAGUGUAGCGGUGAGCACGCGGGAUUUUGAUUCCCGAGUCCCAAGUUCGAACCUUGGUAGGUCCU
Molecule: transfer RNA, 72 nt
Filed under: Cytospora mali
Lineage: Eukaryota; Fungi; Ascomycota; Sordariomycetes; Diaporthales; Cytosporaceae
Description: tRNA-Gln (TTG) (tRNA-Gln-TTG-2-1)
Rfam family: tRNA
About the family: Transfer RNA (tRNA) molecules are approximately 80 nucleotides in length. Their secondary structure includes four short double-helical elements and three loops (D, anti-codon, and T loops).
Source: RNAcentral